RNAcentral lists this transfer RNA (87 nucleotides) under Candidatus Butyricicoccus avicola. Its description in RNAcentral is "tRNA-Leu". It matches the Rfam family "tRNA". From Rfam's summary of the family: Transfer RNA (tRNA) molecules are approximately 80 nucleotides in length. Lineage: Bacteria; Bacillati; Bacillota; Clostridia; Eubacteriales; Butyricicoccaceae. The record is from RNAcentral.
GCCGCCAUGGUGGAACUGGUAGACACAAGGGACUUAAAAUCCCUCGGUAGAAAUACUGUGCGGGUUCGAUUCCCGCUGGCGGCACCA